Molecule: ribosomal RNA, 253 nt
Filed under: uncultured bacterium
Lineage: Bacteria
Description: partial 16S ribosomal RNA
Rfam family: Bacterial small subunit ribosomal RNA
Source: RNAcentral
UACGUAGGGUGCAAGCGUUGUCCGGAAUUAUUGGGCGUAAAGAGUUCGUAGGCGGUUGAAUAAGUCUGAUGUUAAAUACUGGUGCUCAACGCCAGCAUGGCAUUGGAAACUGUUCGGCUAGAGUAUGGUAGAGGUUACGGGAAUUCCUGGUGUAGCGGUGAAAUGCGUAGAUAUCAGGAGGAACACCGGUGGCGAAAGCGCGUAACUGGGCCAUAACUGACGCUGAGGAGCGAAAGCGUGGGGAGCGAACAGG